Corticium candelabrum is the source of this 3210-nucleotide long non-coding RNA. RefSeq lists it as uncharacterized. Lineage: Eukaryota; Metazoa; Porifera; Homoscleromorpha; Homosclerophorida; Plakinidae. The transcript has 3 exons. The record is from RefSeq and is a predicted model, not a curated record.
GUGUACGUGAGAACGUCACUGUGGGUCACGGGUCAUUGAGACAUCUGAUCUGCACCGUUGAAAUACGAAGUCAAAAUUGUGGAAGUUAACUUGGAUAGCACUAUUGUCAGUCGUCUUCCCAAGAAAUUUGUUUUUAGCCCUAUUAAAAGUUAAGGCAGUGCAUGUGGGAUGAUAUCCACUAUAGUGUCUCGAUCCACCCAAAAAAGUGUGUUGACAAGGCAUCCCCUUUAUGAGAGAAUAUUUGCAUGAGCUGGAAAGGGUGGGUGGAGCACAACGUGGCAGAAUAAAGAUUCUAGUGAUGGGAAUUACAAUGGCAGGAAAGACAAGCCUCGUUGAAGCACUUGAGAGUGGUAACCCAUUUCUGGCAAGUCGACAAGAACUAUAAGCGUGGAAGAAAAAGCGAUGAAGCUGGGUGAUAAAAUAGAAUGGAAAGUGCUGGACUGCUGUGGUCAUAAGGCAUACAUGCUAACCAACCAGCUGAUGGUUAGUGAUAAUUCAUUGGUAUUGAUCAUCAUCGAUGGCAGUCAGUAUCAGUUUACUUCACACUGUUUUUGUUACAAUAUUGACGAUUUCCUGCAAGCUUGUAUGAGAAAAACAGCAGACCUCAUGUUGCUAUUGUGGUCAGUAAAGUUGACCAGAUAGUCAAAAUGUCAAGAGACGAAAUGAGUAGAAAGUGGAAUGAACAUCUGUACACUUGUCUACAUCAAUUCCUGGAGAUCAGGCGAGAUCAGAUCAAGCAAAUGGAAGCAGCCACUGCAGCUUAUUCUUGUGAAAAUGAAUAAUGAAUACAUGUCAACACGUCUUCAAUUUUUUUUAAUCAUAGCUAAUAAGAAUUGUUGAAUAAAGGUAAUAAUGACAGGUGCCGCCACAUACAAAGGUGUGGUCAGUCUAAAGGAUCAUCUAAGAGAAUUGUGUGUAGAUGAAGGUCUACUGUCUUCACUGCACACAGAGUUGCAGUCAUCAUGGGUAACUGUAGAAGACAAGUUGGUUAUAGGAGGUCUUUUAAUGUCUGUCCAUUACAGAUGUCUCUUAUGCAAUCCAACUGUGUGAAGAGCAUGGACUAACAACAAGUUGGUAGCAUUUUCGUAUUACUCUUGUCAAGCGACUUUAUCGCAAGUUCUAUUUCCUGUUCCACCAUUUGUCAUCGAUGUGCUAAAAGUUGUUUUCAGACAUGAUAAUCAUCUUUUGAAAUAACUAUCGCUUUAUUGAAGCAGACAUAGGUUCAGAGCAGUUUGAGGAAAUGAAAAUUGACCUUGUUCAUAAUGACAUUGUGAGGAUACCUAUGCUGCUAGCGUUGUGGAGUGAAUUCCACCUUACUGCAGAUUACUAUGUGGACAUGUUUAUUAAGCUAUUUCUUGCUCUGGACUUUGCUUAACUCACUGGCUUAUCUGAUGUUGAAGUUCAAGAACUGUCAGACACUCGAGGUCUUGGUAGACACGCGAUUACGUCAGUCGUACCAAUGCCUACAAACACCAUCAGCCCGACACCAUAUUUAUAAAAUGAUAGGAGAAGUCAGCAAGCAAAUCAGGCAGACAGUUAACAAAGAACUGAUUUGCAAGCUAAAACAACAUAUAUUGGCUUGUUGUUGCCCUAGUUACUUAAUGAUGAAUAACCGAAUGAUGUGAGUCAACUUUGGUCUGCAGACUUACCAGAUGGAGUGAUGUACGUUGUGGUCAAAUACUCAUUUGCUUAUGACCGUCCUUUGAGUCUGUUUGAAUGACUGUCUGCUUAUUGUCAUCAUCAUUCCAAUUAUAUUCAUCACUGGAGCAGUGGGCUACUGAUAUACAUGUUAUGGUGCGGUUACUUUCCUUUUCAAUUGCAGCCAGAAUGCUUCACCUGGCUUUAUAUGUCUCUGGUAGAGUAGUCAAGUCACAUCACAUCAUAGUAUGGACAGAUUGUGGCAUCUUCUUCUUUGUUGUGUGUCAGAUAUGGAGGAUCUUCUCCAGUCUGUUCCUGGUAUUCUCGUUAAUUGAUCCAUUUGCAGUGCUAUUUCUUCUAUUACAUAGAAACUGUAGUCAAAAGUUUUAGUGCAAAGAUGUCAGAACACCUGCAAGCCAUAGAACAAGUGUGUUCAAGUGCAAGGAAACGUAUUCCUUUCUGUCAAAUUGUUUCACCUGAGAGUGGAAGUGCAGUGUCUCAAAAGGUUCUCCAACAGAUAGCAGCAGAUAUAGGAAAGUGGUGGCCUAAACUAAUGAGUAUUAUCAGUACUGACCAGUCUAUGGUGUCAGAGCUUUGUGAGAGCAGUUGUGAGUCUAUAGUUUUGCUCUAUAGCAGCAGCAUCUCGUAUGUUGAGUAAGUGGCAAGACUUGAGAAACAAUGAUUUGAAGGUAUGUGAAUUAUAUGAUGCUCUACUCGUUGCUGACAUUCCAUCUUUACCCCAACGUCAUUUGAGUGAUGUCAUGUCACCUGAUGCAGUAUCUGGAUUAGCAAAUCUAAAGAGAUGGAUGCAUGUGGUGAGACAAAUCCAGCUGACUCUGAGAUAGUCACUCCACUCAUGAUAGAGAAAGUAGCCAAAAAUGGUUUAGAGCGUUGGCAUGAAAUUGGCAUAUACCUUGGAGUUUCACGUUCAGUACUGACUGAAUGUGACCAACCUCUGUACACAGUAAAAGAAAAAUUUCGUAAACUUUUAACAGCUUGGAGUGAUCAAAACAGACAGGCUACGGUUGACCGGUCGUUGUCUGCUUGAUGAUAAGGCUAAAGUGGGAGGGAUAUAUAGUGAGGAGAGCAUUGGAGCAGCUUGAUACGUCAGACUGAAUUUUACAGAAUAUUACGUAUAUUAUACUUUAAAUAACAGUUAUUUGUUUCAUUCAUUAAUUAAUUAACGUGUUAUCCUACAAUAAACUCAAAUUGUGAAGAAAUUUGGAAUGAAUGUACAUGUGUUACACUAUAUUGAUAUGACGCGCCAUUUGUGUCAUACUUAAUAUUCGCUAUUUCCACUGAAGUAGAAAUAAUUCAAGUUGAAAUUCAAUGCUACUUAAUUAAGUAGAAUUCAUUGUCAAUGAAGUGGAGUUCAUUUCUACGAAAUUCUAUAUACCUAUGUAUAAUUACAUGGAAAAUCUAAUAUGACGUGCCAUAGAACUGUGACGGUGUAAAGUUUUAGUAGUAAUUCUUUGUGUCUGAGUCCACUGCCCACCACCUUGUAGACACGCGCCUUACGUGUUUUAUCACGUGCUGUUUGGUUAACAAGUCUCGUGACUGGGUGUGUCUCGU